UCUCUCUAGUAGCUUCUAUACAUGCACAGUUGCACACCACACAAACAAAAGCGGUUUCAUGGAUGCAUAUUGCCGGCCACUACCACUAAUCUCGGCAUCAUUAGUUACAUGACUCAUAAUUAAUUCCUAGCUUGGUGGUUAUUGGAUAUCGGUUAAGUAGGUGGCGAUGGGCGACGGAUCACUGCAUAUCUCGAUCGAGGUUAAUAUGGGCGAUUCGACGACGGGUGCACGUAGCAGCACAGGUGUUGAGCGUUUUGACUGACGUGCGGUGGACGGCACGCGCGCGCGGUGAUUUUCAUACGAGGGUGUGUAGUGCUCCUACGUACUACCGGAGUACUCCGUAAUUGUUAAUUUCCACCGUGCGCGCGUGUCCAUGUACGACGCACUACGUGGCCCGAUCGGUCACGUUCUACCUACGUCGCGCAAUCGUGUCUCCGUCUUAGGCAAACAUCUCAGCCGGUGAUCGACGAACUGUCCCCGAAAUAUGCCAGCGGCCGGCCCGUGUACAUGUUGGACCCGGCGGAUCCCGGUGACAGCGACGGUUCAUCCAAAGCUGCCAACCCCGAGCCCGCGAGGCGCGCGGCUGCGACGUCGUACGGCGGCCUCGCGAGCCGGCGAAACGUCGCCGCGGCAUAUCAUGGCGCGCCACCACCACGCGUUGCUUCGCGAGACGUUUCCUUCCCGUACGCAAACUCCCGUGUCUCCCAAGGCGUGGGCGUGCAUGUGGUGCAACACGGCCGCACGAACGAUUUGGAGAUCCAGAGUACAAGACCGUUUCGGCCGAGCGAGCGCGCGCGCUCCGCCUCGCAAAUGAGCCUAACUUUUAUUUUUUUCAACCAGACCGAACUUUUGUAAGUAUACUUCCAACUCUUCAUGUCCUCUCGACGAAUAUUAUUGGCUUAGCUAUAGGCUCUAGCUUGCCUACUUGUCGCAACCUCGGUGGUGUACCAAAGGAGAGGUUCAAAGGUUCAAGUACUAGCAGUAUGUACUGAUCCGGCCAUCUGGUCUAAAAUGAUCAACUUUUGCUUUUAAAUCUACAUAUAGACUAUGCUCAGAUUCAAAAUCAGUAGUUGAUUAAAUAGGUGGCAUAAAUGACCGGAGCAUGUAUAUGUACGUUGUUACGAGCAUCAAUCGUCCAUCAACCAUAUAAAUAUCUGAGCAUGUAUGUAUUAGAGGGUAUGACAUGUGUGUCUAGUGAUAUGUUUGAAUGUGUGUCUUCCGUGUGAUAAAAUUUGUGUAUUUUUAUUAUGAUUUUAGUGAGGUAGGGAUUUAUUGAUUUCUGUUUCUUUAUUUAAGUAUGUACGAAGUAUUACGAGGCAUACUCGCAUAUGCAAGAAUAUAAUGUGGUGUACGUGUGUGUGGU
Oryza sativa Japonica Group (Japanese rice) is the source of this 1363-nucleotide non-coding RNA. NCBI's taxonomy places the organism in Eukaryota, Viridiplantae, Streptophyta, Magnoliopsida, Poales, Poaceae. The record is from RefSeq and is a predicted model, not a curated record.